RNAcentral lists this ribosomal RNA (1542 nucleotides) under Enterobacter cloacae complex sp. P40C2. Its description in RNAcentral is "bacterial SSU rRNA". It matches the Rfam family "Bacterial small subunit ribosomal RNA". RNAcentral also lists the same sequence under 2 other names. The record is from RNAcentral. Lineage: Bacteria; Pseudomonadati; Pseudomonadota; Gammaproteobacteria; Enterobacterales; Enterobacteriaceae.
AAAUUGAAGAGUUUGAUCAUGGCUCAGAUUGAACGCUGGCGGCAGGCCUAACACAUGCAAGUCGAACGGUAACAGGAAGCAGCUUGCUGCUUCGCUGACGAGUGGCGGACGGGUGAGUAAUGUCUGGGAAACUGCCUGAUGGAGGGGGAUAACUACUGGAAACGGUAGCUAAUACCGCAUAACGUCGCAAGACCAAAGAGGGGGACCUUCGGGCCUCUUGCCAUCGGAUGUGCCCAGAUGGGAUUAGCUAGUAGGUGGGGUAACGGCUCACCUAGGCGACGAUCCCUAGCUGGUCUGAGAGGAUGACCAGCCACACUGGAACUGAGACACGGUCCAGACUCCUACGGGAGGCAGCAGUGGGGAAUAUUGCACAAUGGGCGCAAGCCUGAUGCAGCCAUGCCGCGUGUGUGAAGAAGGCCUUCGGGUUGUAAAGCACUUUCAGCGGGGAGGAAGGCGGUAAGGUUAAUAACCUUGCCGAUUGACGUUACCCGCAGAAGAAGCACCGGCUAACUCCGUGCCAGCAGCCGCGGUAAUACGGAGGGUGCAAGCGUUAAUCGGAAUUACUGGGCGUAAAGCGCACGCAGGCGGUCUGUCAAGUCGGAUGUGAAAUCCCCGGGCUCAACCUGGGAACUGCAUUCGAAACUGGCAGGCUAGAGUCUUGUAGAGGGGGGUAGAAUUCCAGGUGUAGCGGUGAAAUGCGUAGAGAUCUGGAGGAAUACCGGUGGCGAAGGCGGCCCCCUGGACAAAGACUGACGCUCAGGUGCGAAAGCGUGGGGAGCAAACAGGAUUAGAUACCCUGGUAGUCCACGCCGUAAACGAUGUCGACUUGGAGGUUGUGCCCUUGAGGCGUGGCUUCCGGAGCUAACGCGUUAAGUCGACCGCCUGGGGAGUACGGCCGCAAGGUUAAAACUCAAAUGAAUUGACGGGGGCCCGCACAAGCGGUGGAGCAUGUGGUUUAAUUCGAUGCAACGCGAAGAACCUUACCUACUCUUGACAUCCAGAGAACUUUCCAGAGAUGGAUUGGUGCCUUCGGGAACUCUGAGACAGGUGCUGCAUGGCUGUCGUCAGCUCGUGUUGUGAAAUGUUGGGUUAAGUCCCGCAACGAGCGCAACCCUUAUCCUUUGUUGCCAGCGGUUAGGCCGGGAACUCAAAGGAGACUGCCAGUGAUAAACUGGAGGAAGGUGGGGAUGACGUCAAGUCAUCAUGGCCCUUACGAGUAGGGCUACACACGUGCUACAAUGGCGCAUACAAAGAGAAGCGACCUCGCGAGAGCAAGCGGACCUCAUAAAGUGCGUCGUAGUCCGGAUUGGAGUCUGCAACUCGACUCCAUGAAGUCGGAAUCGCUAGUAAUCGUAGAUCAGAAUGCUACGGUGAAUACGUUCCCGGGCCUUGUACACACCGCCCGUCACACCAUGGGAGUGGGUUGCAAAAGAAGUAGGUAGCUUAACCUUCGGGAGGGCGCUUACCACUUUGUGAUUCAUGACUGGGGUGAAGUCGUAACAAGGUAACCGUAGGGGAACCUGCGGUUGGAUCACCUCCUUA